AGCAAACUAACGCAAGAACAGAAAACUAAAUACUGCCUAUUCUCAAUUACAAGUGGAAGAUCAAUGGCCCACCCUCUUCCCGGAUCAACAGGGUCCAAGAGCAGGAAAGUGGAAUUGAAUACCUGGACUAAGACCAAAGAAUGCCGCAGUGCGAGUUGGGGGGGAUAAAUUCCAGGUUUUGAGCUGUUGCUCUAGUCGGUCUGCGCCUGCAGAUGGCAGCGCUCCUUCAUCGUUGCAGCGAUGUGGAUUGAAAUGCACUGGAGCGUCAAUGGAAGGUGAAUUUAUGAAGUGAAAUCAAACUUCAGAAAUCUAUUUUCAGUUGAUUCCACUGGACGCAACUCAAGCAACAGUGUUAAAUGACGAUGGGGAAUACAC
RNAcentral lists this long non-coding RNA (375 nucleotides) under Homo sapiens (human). RNAcentral describes it as "HSALNT0324558". The record is from RNAcentral. Lineage: Eukaryota; Metazoa; Chordata; Mammalia; Primates; Hominidae.